RNAcentral lists this long non-coding RNA (260 nucleotides) under Manihot esculenta (cassava). RNAcentral's name for it is "long non-coding RNA (MESC_LNC011353)". Lineage: Eukaryota; Viridiplantae; Streptophyta; Magnoliopsida; Malpighiales; Euphorbiaceae. The record is from RNAcentral.
ACAGCAGAUAGACAGGACUGACAUCCUAUCCUAAUGGACAUGCUUUCCUAUGGUGCUUGACCAUCUAUGACCUCUAUGAGCCCGACUCUCUCUCUAUAGGUCCGACCAUAUGAACCUAGGGCUCUGAUACCAAUCUGUAACAGCCCGGAAACCGAACUGCUACCGGCGCUAGGAUCCAGAUCGGCUUAAGGCCGCCGGGACCCGUAGCAAGCCUGCUGUGAACUCUGUGUACCUGUGAAAUCCCAUACAUGAUCAUACAU